UUUUGUUUUAACAGAGGUUUUGAAAGCCUUUUAGGAGAAAUAAUUUUCUCAACAAAAA
Molecule: transfer RNA, 58 nt
Filed under: Asteronotus hepaticus
Lineage: Eukaryota; Metazoa; Mollusca; Gastropoda; Nudibranchia; Asteronotidae
Description: tRNA-Ser
Source: RNAcentral